GACGAACGCUUGCGGCGUGCUUAACACAUGCAAGUCGAACGGAAAGGCCCUGCUUUUGUGGGGUGCUCGAGUGGCGAACGGGUGAGUAACACGUGAGUAACCUGCCCUUGACUUUGGGAUAACUUCAGGAAACUGGGGCUAAUACCGGAUAGGAGCUCCUGCUGCAUGGUGGGGGUUGGAAAGUUUCGGCGGUUGGGGAUGGACUCGCGGCUUAUCAGCUUGUUGGUGGGGUAGUGGCUUACCAAGGCUUUGACGGGUAGCCGGCCUGAGAGGGUGACCGGCCACAUUGGGACUGAGAUACGGCCCAGACUCCUACGGGAGGCAGCAGUGGGGAAUAUUGCACAAUGGGCGGAAGCCUGAUGCAGCAACGCCGCGUGCGGGAUGACGGCCUUCGGGUUGUAAACCGCUUUCGCCUGUGACGAAGCGUGAGUGACGGUAAUGGGUAAAGAAGCACCGGCUAACUACGUGCCAGCAGCCGCGGUGAUACGUAGGGUGCGAGCGUUGUCCGGAUUUAUUGGGCGUAAAGGGCUCGUAGGUGGUUGAUCGCGUCGGAAGUGUAAUCUUGGGGCUUAACCCUGAGCGUGCUUUCGAUACGGGUUGACUUGAGGAAGGUAGGGGAGAAUGGAAUUCCUGGUGGAGCGGUGGAAUGCGCAGAUAUCAGGAGGAACACCAGUGGCGAAGGCGGUUCUCUGGGCCUUUCCUGACGCUGAGGAGCGAAAGCGUGGGGAGCGAACAGGCUUAGAUACCCUGGUAGUCCACGCUGUAAACGGUGGGUACUAGGUGUGGGGUCCAUUCCACGGGUUCCGUGCCGUAGCUAACGCUUUAAGUACCCCGCCUGGGGAGUACGGCCGCAAGGCUAAGACUCAAAGGAAUUGACGGGGCCCCGCACAAGCGGCGGAGCAUGCGGAUUAAUUCGAUGCAACGCGUAGAACCUUACCUGGGUUUGACAUGGAUCGGGAGUGCUCAGAGAUGGGUGUGCCUCUUUUGGGGUCGGUUCACAGGUGGUGCAUGGCUGUCGUCAGCUCGUGUCGUGAGAUGUUGGGUUAAGUCCCGCAACGAGCGCAACCCUUGUUCACUGUUGCCAGCACGUUAUGGUGGGGACUCAGUGGAGACCGCCGGGGUCAACUCGGAGGAAGGUGGGGAUGACGUCAAGUCAUCAUGCCCCUUAUGUCCAGGGCUUCACGCAUGCUACAAUGGCUGGUACAGAGAGUGGCGAGCCUGUGAGGGUGAGCGAAUCUCGGAAAGCCGGUCUCAGUUCGGAUUGGGGUCUGCAACUCGACCUCAUGAAGUCGGAGUCGCUAGUAAUCGCAGAUCAGCAACGCUGCGGUGAAUACGUUCCCGGG
Molecule: ribosomal RNA, 1343 nt
Filed under: uncultured bacterium
Lineage: Bacteria
Description: 16S ribosomal RNA
Rfam family: Bacterial small subunit ribosomal RNA
Source: RNAcentral